RNAcentral lists this transfer RNA (73 nucleotides) under Ruoffia tabacinasalis. RNAcentral's name for it is "tRNA-Val". It matches the Rfam family "tRNA". From Rfam's summary of the family: Transfer RNA (tRNA) molecules are approximately 80 nucleotides in length. RNAcentral also lists the same sequence under 3 other names. The record is from RNAcentral. Lineage: Bacteria; Bacillati; Bacillota; Bacilli; Lactobacillales; Aerococcaceae.
GGAGGAUUAGCUCAGCUGGGAGAGCGUCUGCCUUACAAGCAGAAUGUCGGCGGUUCGAUCCCGUCAUCCUCCA